CAGUUCGGGAGUUCGGAGCGGGUUCGCGAAUCAUUUGAGUCAUAAAAUAUAUUUCAUGACACUUAUAUCAGCAACUGCAGACGUUGCAAAUCCGGGUAUCUGAAUGAUUUCUGAAGCUCAUGUGACACUGAAGACUGCAGUAAUGACGCUGAAAAUACAGCUGGGCAUCACAGAAAUAAAUUAUAUUUGAACAUGUAUUCAAAUAGAAAACAGCUAUUGUAAACUGUAAUAAUAUUUCACAAUAUUGCUGUAUCAGAUACUCAUAAUUAUGUAGUAUUUACUCUAUCAAAUACAAGCAGGGACUGAUUCACUAAUGCACAUGCAUGCAUUUUCAAGAGUGCUUUUUUAUACUUUAAAAAAAGCUUAAUUAAUCCCAUUUUUUGUAAUGUAAUUAAUAUUGUUCAGCCAUCUUAACAUCAUCCUAAUCUCUGUAUCCACAGCACCUGUGCCUGUGUGGAGUACUUGGUAAAGCUCUGGAAGUCUUGAUCAGUAAUGUCAGCAUCCAAUGCAUCCACGGUAAGAGGAAGCAUAAACGAAACAAGAUCUUUGCAGAUUUCCGGGCGCUGAAGAGUGGGAUUCUCGUGUGCACAGACGUCAUGGCCAUACCAGAAGUGAACUGAGUGCUUCAGUACGACCCACUGAGCAGUGCAAGGUUACCAGGACAUUCAUCAACUUGAGCUCACAACUGUUUGGACACCCAUUCACUAGAAAGCAUCUAUUUGUGAGCAAGUGAUGCAAUGCUACAUUUCUCCAAAGUGGAAGAAGAAAAAAACUCUUGGAUGGUUUGAGGGAUUUAGAUUUUGACUACCAAGACGUAAAGAAGCUUUUAAAUGACACUCGUCUGCUGAAGAAACUCAAGAAAGGAAAGAUCAGUGAAGAGGACCUUGACAAGCACAUGAGUUCAGCGGGCACCUCUUAUCCCAAACGAGCAGAUGCAAACAGUUCUGAUGGAGAUGGAGAAUGACAGUUAUUUCUGUAACUUUAUGCACCUAAAUUGACAUUUAGAUUAAAAUUGUCAUUUGACUUCAUUUUCAUUUCAUUCUGUAGUGUACAAGAGAAUACAUUCUUAACAAAUGCGCUUCUGUAU
Long non-coding RNA from Carassius auratus (goldfish), 1087 nucleotides. RefSeq lists it as uncharacterized. The transcript has 4 exons. NCBI's taxonomy places the organism in Eukaryota, Metazoa, Chordata, Actinopteri, Cypriniformes, Cyprinidae. The record is from RefSeq and is a predicted model, not a curated record.